RNAcentral lists this ribosomal RNA (253 nucleotides) under uncultured bacterium. RNAcentral describes it as "partial 16S ribosomal RNA". It matches the Rfam family "Bacterial small subunit ribosomal RNA", at positions 524 to 776 of the family's 1533-position model. The record is from RNAcentral.
UACGUAUGGAGCAAGCGUUAUCCGGAUUUACUGGGUGUAAAGGGAGCACAGGCGGUCUGGCAAGUCUGAUGUGAAAGGCCGGGGCUCAACCCCGGGACUGCAUUGGAAACUGUCAGACUGGAGUGUCGGAGAGGUAAGCGGAAUUCCUAGUGUAGCGGUGAAAUGCGUAGAUAUUAGGAGGAACACCAGUGGCGAAGGCGGCUUACUGGACGAUGACUGACGCUGAGGCUCGAAAGCGUGGGGAGCAAACAGG